RNAcentral lists this ribosomal RNA (253 nucleotides) under uncultured bacterium. Its description in RNAcentral is "partial 16S ribosomal RNA". It matches the Rfam family "Bacterial small subunit ribosomal RNA", at positions 524 to 776 of the family's 1533-position model. The record is from RNAcentral.
UACGUAGGGGGCAAGCGUUGUCCGGAUUUAUUGGGCGUAAAGAGCGUGUAGGCGGCCUGACAGGUCUGCUGUGAAAACUCGAGGCUCAACCUCGAGAUGUCGGCGGAAACCGUCUGGCUAGAGUCCGGAAGAGGAGAGUGGAAUUCCUGGUGUAGCGGUGAAAUGCGCAGAUAUCAGGAGGAACACCGAUGGCGAAGGCAGGUCUCUGGGCAUUAACUGACGCUGAGGAGCGAAAGCAUGGGGAGCGAACAGG